RNAcentral lists this transfer RNA (74 nucleotides) under Bacteroidales bacterium. RNAcentral's name for it is "tRNA-Ile". It matches the Rfam family "tRNA". Rfam says of the family: Transfer RNA (tRNA) molecules are approximately 80 nucleotides in length. Their secondary structure includes four short double-helical elements and three loops (D, anti-codon, and T loops). The record is from RNAcentral. Lineage: Bacteria; Pseudomonadati; Bacteroidota; Bacteroidia; Bacteroidales.
CCUCUUUUAGCUCAGUCGGUUAGAGCAUAUGGCUUAUAUCCAUAGUGUCCGGGGUUCGAGUCCCUGAGGGAGGA